This 309-nucleotide unclassified non-coding RNA is filed under the name fungal sp. RNAcentral describes it as "partial internal transcribed spacer region". The stretch from base 1 to 46 matches the Rfam family "Eukaryotic small subunit ribosomal RNA", at positions 1786 to 1831 of the family's 1831-position model. Lineage: Eukaryota; Fungi. The record is from RNAcentral.
AAGUCGUAACAAGGUUUCCGUAGGUGAACCUGCGGAAGGAUCAUUAAAAAAUCUUAAUAAUGAGCCGCAAGGCUCUGAUAUUUUGUGAACUGUGUGUGGUGAAGUGUGCGAGUGAGGGCGAGGUGAUUGGUGUUGUGUUACCGGUGCUUGUUAUGGCAUUGGCGGCGUAUAUCAUCAUAUUAUCUAUCCGUCUAUCACAUCAUACAACAACACUACAAACCUUGAUAAUACAUAUGAUUUUGAUGUUGAGGAAGUAUUAUAUCAAUUAUAAUAUCUAUACAACUUUCAACAGUGGAUCUCUCGGCUCUU